CUUCUUGCUCUGCUGCCCAGGCUGGAGUGCAGUGGUGUGAUCAUAGCUCACUGCAGCCUCGAACUCCUGGGCUCAGCCUCCCGACUACCUGGGAUUAUAGGCGCAGGCCACCACACCUGGCUAAAUUUAUUUAUUUUAUUUAUUUUUUAUUUUUUUUGAGACAGAGUCUCGCUCUGUCGCCCAGGCUGGAGUGCAGUGGCGCAGUCUCGGCUCACUGCAACCUCCGCCUCCCGGGUUCACGCCAUUCUCCUGCCUCAGCCUCCC
RNAcentral lists this long non-coding RNA (264 nucleotides) under Homo sapiens (human). RNAcentral's name for it is "LHRI_LNC186.1". Lineage: Eukaryota; Metazoa; Chordata; Mammalia; Primates; Hominidae. The record is from RNAcentral.